RNAcentral lists this ribosomal RNA (404 nucleotides) under uncultured bacterium. Its description in RNAcentral is "bacterial SSU rRNA". It matches the Rfam family "Bacterial small subunit ribosomal RNA", at positions 355 to 774 of the family's 1533-position model. The record is from RNAcentral.
UGGGGAAUAUUGCACAAUGGAGGAAACUCUGAUGCAGCGACGCCGCGUGAGUGAAGAAGGUCUUCGGAUCGUAAAACUCUGUCCUUGGUGACGAAAAAAAUGACGGUAGCCAAGGAGGAAGCCCCGGCUAACUACGUGCCAGCAGCCGCGGUAAUACGUAGGGGGCGAGCGUUGUCCGGAUUUACUGGGCGUAAAGGGUGAGUAGGCGGUAAUAUGUGUCAGAUGUAAAAGGCUAUGGCUUAACCAUAGUUGGCAUUUGAAACUGUAUUGAUUGAGUGCAGGAGAGGUAAGUGGAAUUCCUAGUGUAGCGGUGAAAUGCGUAGAUAUUAGGAGGAACACCAGUGGCGAAGGCGACUUACUGGACUGUAACUGACGCUGAGUCACGAAAGCGUGGGUAGCAAACA